AUUGAACGCUGGCGGAAUGCUUUACACAUGCAAGUCGAGCGGCAGCGCGGCCUUCGGGCUGGCGGCGAGCGGCGAACGGGUGAGUAAUGCAUCGGAACAUGCCCAGUCGUGGGGGAUAACACUUCGAAAGAGGUGCUAAUACCGCAUACGUCCUGAGGGGGAAAGCGGGGGAUCGCAAGACCUCGCGCGAUUGGAGUGGCCGAUGUCAGAUUAGCUAGUUGGUGGGGUAAAGGCCUACCAAGGCGACGAUCUGUAGCUGGUCUGAGAGGAUGAUCAGCCACACUGGGACUGAGACACGGCCCAGACUCCUACGGGAGGCAGCAGUGGGGAAUUUUGGACAAUGGGGGCAACCCUGAUCCAGCCAUUCCGCGUGAGUGAAGAAGGCCUUCGGGUUGUAAAGCUCUUUCGGCAGGAACGAAACGGUGGGCUCUAACAUAGUCCGCUAAUGACGGUACCUGAAGAAGAAGCACCGGCUAACUACGUG
RNAcentral lists this ribosomal RNA (484 nucleotides) under uncultured bacterium. RNAcentral describes it as "partial 16S ribosomal RNA". It matches the Rfam family "Bacterial small subunit ribosomal RNA", at positions 29 to 507 of the family's 1533-position model. The record is from RNAcentral.